This 245-nucleotide ribosomal RNA is filed under the name uncultured bacterium. RNAcentral describes it as "partial small subunit ribosomal RNA". It matches the Rfam family "Bacterial small subunit ribosomal RNA", at positions 26 to 285 of the family's 1533-position model. The record is from RNAcentral.
AGAAUCAACGCUGGCGGCGUGCCUAACACAUGCAAGUCGCACGAGAAAGGGGAGCAAUCCCUGAGUACAGUGGCGCACGGGUGAGUAACACGUGAAUAAUCUACCUCCGAGUGGGGAAUAACUGAGAGAAAUCUUAGCUAAUACCGCAUAACACUUACGAGUCAAAGCAGCAAUGCGCUUGGAGAGGAGUUCGCGGCCGAUUAGUUAGUUGGCGGGGUAAUGGCCCACCAGGACGAUGAUCGGUA